RNAcentral lists this unclassified non-coding RNA (416 nucleotides) under soil metagenome. RNAcentral describes it as "partial contains 5.8S ribosomal RNA, internal transcribed spacer 2, and large subunit ribosomal RNA". The stretch from base 1 to 120 matches the Rfam family "5.8S ribosomal RNA", at positions 35 to 154 of the family's 154-position model. The record is from RNAcentral.
GAUGAAGAACGCAGCGAAAUGCGAUAAGUAAUGUGAAUUGCAGAAUUCAGUGAAUCAUCGAAUCUUUGAACGCACCUUGCACUCCUUGGUAUUCCGAGGAGUACGCCUGUUCGAGUGUUAUGAAGCUCUCAAAACGCAAUUGGCUUAAAACCUGAUUGUUGUUUUGGAUUUGAACUUUGCCGUGUUAUAACGGCUGGUUUUAAAAGUAUCAGCUGGUACUAGAACGAAUUGGUUCUACUCAACGUGAUAAUUAUCUGAUCGUUGAGGACAUUCCUUUCACGAGGAAUGGCCAUAGUAAAUUCAAUGGACUGCUUCUAAUCUGGCUUUAAUUCUUUAUUGGAUUAACCACUUUUCAAAUCUGACCUCGAAUCAGGUGGGACUACCCGCUGAACUUAAGCAUAUCAAUAAGCGGAGGA